Molecule: ribosomal RNA, 614 nt
Filed under: uncultured bacterium
Lineage: Bacteria
Description: bacterial SSU rRNA
Rfam family: Bacterial small subunit ribosomal RNA
Source: RNAcentral
UGCAAGUCGAACGGCAGCACGGGUGCUUGCACCUGGUGGCGAGUGGCGAACGGGUGAGUAAUGCGUCGGAACGUACCGAGUAAUGGGGGAUAACGCAGCGAAAGUUGUGCUAAUACCGCAUACGCCCUGAGGGGGAAAGUGGGGGACCGCAAGGCCUCACGUUAUUCGAGCGGCCGACGUCUGAUUAGCUAGUUGGUGGGGUAAAGGCCUACCAAGGCGACGAUCAGUAGCGGGUCUGAGAGGAUGAUCCGCCACACUGGGACUGAGACACGGCCCAGACUCCUACGGGAGGCAGCAGUGGGGAAUUUUGGACAAUGGGGGCAACCCUGAUCCAGCCAUUCCGCGUGAGUGAAGAAGGCCUUCGGGUUGUAAAGCUCUUUCGGCAGGAACGAAACGGUUGCGGUUAAUACCCGCGGCUACUGACGGUACCUGCAGAAGAAGCACCGGCUAACUACGUGCCAGCAGCCGCGGUAAUACGUAGGGUGCGAGCGUUAAUCGGAAUUACUGGGCGUAAAGCGUGCGCAGGCGGAUUGUUAAGCAAGACGUGAAAUCCCCGGGCUUAACCUGGGAAUGGCGUUUUGAACUGGCAGUCUAGAGUGCGUCAGAGGGGGGUG